UGAGGAUUUACAAAACCACGUCUUACUUUUCUACCCCUUCAUAUUGUUGCAGAAGCUGAAAAAGUAUUUUCUAAUUUCAUUUUCAAUUAUUUUUAGGCUACAAGAGUGACUGAACACAGAUUACCUCCUCCUGGUCCUCCCACAGGCAAUGUACCUCUGGCAAAAAGAGAAUGCACAAAAUUCCUUCACUGUACAGAGAUCUUUGAGUCUGCAAAGUGUCCCUUCUGUAAUUGCCUUGUUCCCUCAGUAGUUGUGGAGGAAUUUCAGCACAAGAAGCUCUGGUGAGGCUUCAGAGCUCUUUGUAGGCUCUGGAACAGCAGAACAGGAGGGAGAGGAGCUGCACAAACCCUCCCACAUCCCUUCUCUGUGGAUGCUCCCCAUGAGUCCAGGGUAGUGC
This 397-nucleotide long non-coding RNA is filed under the name Junco hyemalis (dark-eyed junco). Its description in RNAcentral is "lncRNA (ENSJHYG00000005585.1)". The record is from RNAcentral. Lineage: Eukaryota; Metazoa; Chordata; Aves; Passeriformes; Passerellidae.